UGAAAAGCACCAAAACCAGAAUGAUGUCCAACUAUCUUGAUUUCAUUGGCGACAAGAAAAAAAACCUAACAUUUGGUGCCGAAACCCAGGAGGAGAUUGAGCCCCUGCUCUGGCACGGAAGCUCUCUUCUCCUCUCAAGCAGACUGGGACUUCUCUCUCUCUCUCUCCAAACAUCUCUCGAAGCCCGCUGUGGGCUCUCUGAUCAGCCGUUGCCUAACCCUGACCACGUGCUCUUCAUGGACAACAGCUCCCUCCUGGCCUCGGAUGGCCAAAAACACGCCGC
Ailuropoda melanoleuca (giant panda) is the source of this 283-nucleotide long non-coding RNA. RefSeq lists it as uncharacterized. The record is from RefSeq and is a predicted model, not a curated record. Lineage: Eukaryota; Metazoa; Chordata; Mammalia; Carnivora; Ursidae. The transcript has 3 exons.